GACGAACGCUGGCGGCGUGCCUAACACAUGCAAGUCGAACGGAAAGGCCCGGAGCUUGUGGCGUGCUUGUGAGCCGCAGACGUGAGUAUAACGUGUGGAACAUGCCCUUAUCAGUGGGAUAACACCAGGGGACACGGGAGCAUAUCCGGGAUGAUCUCCUGAUGCACAGUGUUGAAUAGUGAAAGACGGCGUUGGGGGAUGGACUCGCUGCUUAUGAGCUUGUUUGUGUGGUAGGGGCGUACAAAGGCUUUGACGGGUAGCCGGCCUGAGAGGGUGACCGGGCACCUUGGGACUGAGAUACGGACCAGACUCGUACGGGCGGCAGCAGUGGGGAAUAUUGCACAAUGGGCGGAAGCCUGAUGCAGCGACGCCGCGUGCGGGAUGACCGCCUUUGGGUUAUAAACCUCUUUCGCCUGUGACGAAGAGUGAGUGACGGUAAUGAGUCAAGAAGCAACGGCUAACUACGUG
Molecule: ribosomal RNA, 468 nt
Filed under: uncultured bacterium
Lineage: Bacteria
Description: partial 16S ribosomal RNA
Rfam family: Bacterial small subunit ribosomal RNA
Source: RNAcentral